AUGACGAAGUCAGAGUUAGUGAAGCGUUCAGAGGUUUUUGUACAGCUGCUCGCUUUGUUUCUAUCACUGUGGUUCACAUUCGGCACCGGCACGAGACUCGACGUUGGCAGUGUAAGUCGUCCUAAAGUGAUCGUCCUGUCGCCGUCCAGUGAAGAGAUUUCCAUCAAGAAGACAGCAACAGUGAUGUGUGUGGCCAGCAAUGGUUUCCCUUCAGACUGGAGUCUGAGCUGGAAAGUGAAUGGGAAGAUGUCAGGAUCUCAGGAGAACAGAGCUGGAGUCCUACAGAAAGACGGCGGUCUGUACAGCUGGAGCAGCAGUCUGACUCUCACUGAACAAGAAUGGAUCAACAGAGACUCAGUGAUCUGUGAGAUCAGUCGGGAAGGUCAGACAGUCACUGGAGAAGUGAAGAAAGAUCUGUGUUCUGAGUAG
Molecule: non-coding RNA, 429 nt
Organism: Misgurnus anguillicaudatus (oriental weatherfish)
Lineage: Eukaryota; Metazoa; Chordata; Actinopteri; Cypriniformes; Cobitidae
Source: the annotation of a RefSeq genome assembly